RNAcentral lists this unclassified non-coding RNA (200 nucleotides) under Basidiomycota sp. RNAcentral's name for it is "partial internal transcribed spacer 2". Lineage: Eukaryota; Fungi; Basidiomycota. The record is from RNAcentral.
UUAAGUUCAGCGGGUAGUCCUACCUGAUUUGAGGUCUAGUCUUAAAAAAGCCCAAAGGCAAUUAGAAGCAGUCUUCCUUUCACCUAAUGAAACUUAUUACAUCAGGAUCCAGUUUGAACCACUAAGGCAUUCUAGGUGAGCAGAUUGCAAACCCACAUCCACGUUUAAAGAGAAAAACUCUUUAAAGUGAUAAUUCAAGA